This 78-nucleotide transfer RNA is filed under the name Bacteroidota bacterium. RNAcentral describes it as "Bacteroidetes bacterium tRNA-Val". It matches the Rfam family "tRNA". From Rfam's summary of the family: Transfer RNA (tRNA) molecules are approximately 80 nucleotides in length. Their secondary structure includes four short double-helical elements and three loops (D, anti-codon, and T loops). Further hydrogen bonds mediate the characteristic L-shaped molecular structure. tRNAs have two regions of fundamental functional importance: the anti-codon, which is responsible for specific mRNA codon recognition, and the 3' end, to which the tRNAs corresponding amino acid is attached (by aminoacyl-tRNA synthetases). tRNAs cope with the degeneracy of the genetic code in two manners: having more than one tRNA (with a specific anti-codon) for a particular amino acid; and 'wobble' base-pairing, i.e. permitting non-standard base-pairing at the 3rd anti-codon position. RNAcentral also lists the same sequence under 1 other name. The record is from RNAcentral. Lineage: Bacteria; Pseudomonadati; Bacteroidota.
GGGCCAUUAGCUCAGUUGGUUUAGAGCGCUGCCUUGACAGGGCAGAGGUCACUGGUUCGAAUCCAGUAUGGCUCACAA